ACUCCUACGGGAGGCAGCAGUGGGGAAUAUUGCACAAUGGGCGCAAGCCUGAUGCAGCCAUGCCGCGUGUGUGAAGAAGGCCUUCGGGUUGUAAAGCACUUUCAGUUGUGAGGAAGGUGGUGUCGUUAAUAGCGGCACAUUUGAUCGUUAUGCAACAGAAGAAGCACCGGCUAACUCCGUGCCAGCAGCCGCGGUAAUACGGAGGGUGCAAGCGUUAAUCGGAAUUACUGGGCGUAAAGCGUGCGCAGGCGGUCUGUUAAGCGAGAUGUGAAAGCCCGGGCUCAAGCCUGGGAACUGCAUUUCGAACUGGCAGUACUAGAGUCUUGUAGAGGGGGGUAGAAUUCCAGGUGGUAGCGGUG
RNAcentral lists this ribosomal RNA (359 nucleotides) under uncultured bacterium. Its description in RNAcentral is "bacterial SSU rRNA". It matches the Rfam family "Bacterial small subunit ribosomal RNA", at positions 335 to 683 of the family's 1533-position model. The record is from RNAcentral.